Molecule: small nucleolar RNA, 97 nt
Organism: Drosophila sulfurigaster albostrigata
Lineage: Eukaryota; Metazoa; Arthropoda; Insecta; Diptera; Drosophilidae
Product: small nucleolar RNA Me28S-Am2634
Exons: 1
Source: RefSeq, a predicted model, not a curated record
UGUUAACUGCUAGUGAUGAUUUUAUGAGUAGGAAUCUCAUUGAGCUUCAGUCAUGCGUUGCUAUGAAAUCAAUUUUUCUCUUACUGAACGUUAAGCA